GCCAGGUGUGGUGGCGCAUACCUGUAGUCCCAGUUACUUGGGAGGCUGAGGUGGGAGGAUCACUUCAGCCCAGGAGGCAGAGGUUGCUGUGAGCCCAGAUUGUGCCACUGCAUUCCAGCCUGGGCAACACAGUGAGACCCCAUCUCAA
This 148-nucleotide signal recognition particle RNA is filed under the name Gorilla gorilla gorilla (western lowland gorilla). RNAcentral's name for it is "Metazoan signal recognition particle RNA". It matches the Rfam family "Metazoan signal recognition particle RNA". Rfam says of the family: The signal recognition particle (SRP) is a universally conserved ribonucleoprotein. It is involved in the co-translational targeting of proteins to membranes. The record is from Rfam by way of RNAcentral. Lineage: Eukaryota; Metazoa; Chordata; Mammalia; Primates; Hominidae.